RNAcentral lists this ribosomal RNA (300 nucleotides) under uncultured Clostridium sp. RNAcentral's name for it is "bacterial SSU rRNA". It matches the Rfam family "Bacterial small subunit ribosomal RNA", at positions 496 to 795 of the family's 1533-position model. Lineage: Bacteria; Bacillati; Bacillota; Clostridia; Eubacteriales; Clostridiaceae. The record is from RNAcentral.
GCUAACUACGUGCCAGCAGCCGCGGUAAUACGUAGGGGGCAAGCGUUAUCCGGAUUUACUGGGUGUAAAGGGAGCGUAGACGGUGAUGUAAGUCAGAUGUGAAAGCCCGGGGCUCAACCCCGGGACUGCAUUUGAAACUAUGUUGCUGGAGUGCAGGAGAGGUAAGUGGAAUUCCUAGUGUAGCGGUGAAAUGCGUAGAUAUUAGGAGGAACACCAGUGGCGAAGGCGGCUUACUGGACUGUAACUGACGUUGAGGCUCGAAAGCGUGGGGAGCAAACAGGAUUAGAUACCCGGGUAGUC